AAGUCGUAACAAGGUUUCCGUAGGUGAACCUGCGGAAGGAUCAUUGAUGUGUGAGGGGAGAGUGGGGAGAGAUGUUGGAAUGAGUUGGGAGAUAUCACGUGACAAACUAUUAUUUAUCAAUAUGACUAGCCACCUGGGAUCUCUGGGCUCUU
RNAcentral lists this unclassified non-coding RNA (152 nucleotides) under fungal sp. Its description in RNAcentral is "partial internal transcribed spacer region". The stretch from base 1 to 46 matches the Rfam family "Eukaryotic small subunit ribosomal RNA", at positions 1786 to 1831 of the family's 1831-position model. The record is from RNAcentral. Lineage: Eukaryota; Fungi.